UACGUAGGUGGCAAGCGUUGUCCGGAUUUACUGGGCGUAAAGAGCGCGCAGGCGGUCGUUCAAGUCGCGUGUGAAAGCCCCCGGCUCAACUGGGGAGGGUCACGCGAUACUGAUCGACUCGAAGGCAGGAGAGGGUAGUGGAAUUCCCGGUGUAGUGGUGAAAUGCGUAGAUAUCGGGAGGAACACCAGUGGCGAAGGCGGCCUACUGGGUCAGUACUGACGCUGAGCCGCGAAAGCCAGGGGAGCGAACGGG
This 253-nucleotide ribosomal RNA is filed under the name uncultured bacterium. RNAcentral describes it as "partial 16S ribosomal RNA". It matches the Rfam family "Bacterial small subunit ribosomal RNA", at positions 524 to 776 of the family's 1533-position model. The record is from RNAcentral.